AUGUUCGAAGAAUGCAACAAUGAUGCAUCACAAAAAAAGUAUGACAAGACAACUUUUCAGAAUUUAAUUUUAUUGUUGAUUAAUCUAUUUUUAGAUGGUUAUACAACUCCUCAACAUACUCUCGGUCAUGUUUAGGUUCAUGUCCAUCCAUAGAAGGUGGGGUCCUGCGGAUUUCCGGAUGGAAAGAAUUGUAGACAAGUUGGCCAUGAAGGAGGAGUUGUCUGAUAUUAUAAAAUUUUCUAUAAACAAUGACUGGGAUCUUCAAGGCAACGAUACAAACUUGAAGCCCAGUAGAAUAAAAAAAAUUGUAAACCAUUUAGCAACCGGUUUACCGGAUCACCAUUACCAAUUGUGACAUUGACUUUUCAUUUUAACUGCUUGUUAUAAAUCAU
RNAcentral lists this long non-coding RNA (392 nucleotides) under Mytilus galloprovincialis (Mediterranean mussel). The record is from RNAcentral. Lineage: Eukaryota; Metazoa; Mollusca; Bivalvia; Mytilida; Mytilidae.